CCUACGGGCGGCAGCAGUGGGGAAUAUUGCUCAAUGGGGGAAACCCUGAUGCAGCGACGCCGCGUGAGUGAAGAAGUAUUUCGGUAUGUAAAGCUCUAUCAGCAGGGAAGAAAAGGACGGUACCUGAUUAAGAAGCCGCGUCUAACUACGUGCCACCAGCCGCGGUAACACGUAGGGGGCCAGCGUUAUCCGGAUUUACUGGGCGUAAAGGGAGCGUAGACGGCAGCAACAGUCUGGAGUGAAAUGCCCGGGGUUAACCCCGGAAGUGCUGUGGAAACCGGGCAGCUAGAGUGCAGGAGAGGUAAGUGGAAUGCGUAGUGUAGCGGUGAAAUGCAUAGAUAUUAGGAAGAACACCGAUGGCGAAGGCAGCUUACUGGACUGUAACUGACGUUGAGGCUCGAAAGCGUGGGGAGCAAACAGGAUUAGAUACCCGUGUAGUC
RNAcentral lists this ribosomal RNA (440 nucleotides) under uncultured bacterium. RNAcentral's name for it is "partial 16S ribosomal RNA". It matches the Rfam family "Bacterial small subunit ribosomal RNA", at positions 338 to 795 of the family's 1533-position model. The record is from RNAcentral.